This 1514-nucleotide long non-coding RNA is filed under the name Lactuca sativa (garden lettuce). RNAcentral's name for it is "long non-coding RNA (LSAT_LNC007469)". The record is from RNAcentral. Lineage: Eukaryota; Viridiplantae; Streptophyta; Magnoliopsida; Asterales; Asteraceae.
UUUCAUCAAAUUGGAAGAUAUUUGCCGCAAUAAUUGGUUUGUUUAUGUCAAUUUGUACACAUCAUAUUAAAUAAAUGUUUUGUCCGAGUGUUUUCCAAAAAUGAAUGAUGUCAACCUAAAGUAUGGACAUGGUUACAUUUAAACUGUGUAUUUGUUUAGGGUUCGAUUUGGGCUUGAUUUUCACAUUUUAGAUUUACUAUAAAUAUAUAUGGAGCCCAAAAAUCUCUCCAAAACAACCUUUGUGGAGAAAAAGAAACUCUAACAUAUAUAAUCACUUAUAAGACGGUGUCACGCCGAUGUAGAAUACACUAACACUCCCCUCAAAGUCAGAGACUCAAUGAGGAUAGACAAUGAUGUGUUGAGCAACCGGAAUGCGGGACAUCAGCUCCGAUACCGUGUUGGAUUGGUGGAAAAAACCCCUUAGGGGUUACGUUGUAUUAUCACUUGAAUAUAUAUUACACAAAGUUACAAUGAGACCCCUAAUACUAUUCAUCAAAUAUUAAAAUACAUAUAAUUUAACAUUUACAUAUAUUGUUCUUUAAUUAUGUUUAAAUUUGAUUUGGACUUUCAAAUGAUAGAAAAAUAAAAGUAUAUUGUUAGUUUGUGUAAAAAUAGAAACUCAAAUUAUGUAUUAAUGUAAUAAAAACUCUUUUUUCAAUGUCAUAAGGCCAAAGCUCAAGUGACCUAAUGGACAGCGGGAGAUUGUGAGUUCAAGUCUCAUCGCGAUCGAUUUAUGAUUUGUUUUCCAUUGAUGAUAUUGAGUGAAGUUAUAUGUUCAUUCAAAACAAUGGAUUUAAACACUGAUUUUUCUUGUUUACAUGGGCAAAUUUGAUGUUCAAAACCAUUGUUGAUAGUGGCUAGACGAAGAUUAUUUAGUUGGUUAAACAUUCAAUUAACAAUAUGUUCAUUCAGAACAAUGGAUUUAAACAUUGAUUUUUCUUUGUUACGUGGGCAAAUUUGAUGUUUGAAACCAUCAUUCAUAGUGGCUAAUUACAGUGGUUAUUUAGUCGGUAAAAUAUUAAUUAACCACUAAAUCAACUCGAGAUCUAUACCUUUAAGGUAGCGUUAGGUGCGUGGGACUGAACAGAAUUGAAUAAACCAAAGUUUUUUCAAUAGGUGUUUGGCAUAAAUGAGACUUGAACAAGACGGGUUGUUGACCAAGUCCAAUGGGACUAAUUCUCCAAAAUUUAGUCCCACCCAAGAUGGUGGAACAAGAAACAAAAUGACCAAAAACUCCUUACCCUAUUCUCAUCUAUAUGUCUACCAUCCACACAACCCUUUCAUCUUCCUCGUUGGAAUUGGUGUUACCACCCUUCCCCAUCCAUUUUCAGGUGCUAGUCUAUCUAGAGAAAAAAAAAAAAAAAAGNAUGUCUACCAUCCACACAACCCUUUCAUCUUCCUCGUUGGAAUUGGUGUUACCACCCUUCCCCAUCCAUUUUCAGGUGCUAGUCUAUCUAGAGAAAAAAAAAAAAAAGAAAAAAAAAAGAAAAAAAAAAAGGUCCUUUGUGUUUUAC